GACACUGAGGCACGAAAGCGUGGGGUAUCAAACAGGAUUAGAUACCCCUGGUAGUCCACGCAGUAAACGAUGAAUACUAGCUGUUGGCGAUAUAUGGUCAGCGGUACAGCGAAAAGUGUUAAGUAUUUCCACCUGGGGAGUACGCCCGGCAACGGUGAAACUCAAAAGGAAUUGAACGGGGGCCCGCACAAGCGGAGGAACAUGUGGUUUAAUUCGAUGAUACGCGAGGAACCUUACCCGGGCUUGAAAGUUAGUGACGGCGGAUGAAAGUCUGCUUCCCUUCGGGGCACGAAACUAGGUGCUGCAUGGUUGUCGUCAGCUCGUGCCGUGAGGUGUCGGCUUAAGUGCCAUAACGAGCGCAACCCUUGCCGUUAGUUGCCAGCGGGUAAUGCCGGGAACUCUAGCGGGACUGCUACUGUAAGGUAGAGGAAGGUGGGGAUGACGUCAAAUCAGCACGGCCCUUACGUCCGGGGCGACACACGUGUUACAAUGGUGAGUACAGAGGGUUGCUACUUGGUGACAAGAUGCUAAUCUCCUAAAACUCAUCUCAGUUCGGAUCGGAGUCUGCAACUCGACUCCGUGAAGCUGGAUUCGCUAGUAA
RNAcentral lists this ribosomal RNA (601 nucleotides) under uncultured bacterium. Its description in RNAcentral is "bacterial SSU rRNA". It matches the Rfam family "Bacterial small subunit ribosomal RNA", at positions 742 to 1341 of the family's 1533-position model. The record is from RNAcentral.